This 803-nucleotide ribosomal RNA is filed under the name uncultured bacterium. RNAcentral's name for it is "bacterial SSU rRNA". It matches the Rfam family "Bacterial small subunit ribosomal RNA", at positions 8 to 796 of the family's 1533-position model. The record is from RNAcentral.
AGAGUUUGAUCAUGGCUCAGGACGAACGCUGGCGGCGUGCUUAACACAUGCAAGUGGUGCGACGAACCAGGGCUUGCCCUGGGGCAAAGCCGCGAACGGGUGAGUAACACGUGAGUAACCUGCCCCGAUGACCGGGACAACCCGAGGAAACUCGGGCUAAUACCGGAUGUGGCGCACAGGCGUAAGCCUGUUCGCUAAAGGAAGCUUCGGCCUCCGCAUUGGGAGGGGCUCGCGGCCCAUUAGCUUGUUGGUGGGGUAACGGCCUACCAAGGCAACGAUGGGUAGCUGGUCUGAGAGGACGAUCAGCCACACUGGGACUGAGACACGGCCCAGACUCCUACGGGAGGCAGCAGUGGGGAAUCUUGCGCAAUGCGCGAAAGCGUGACGCAGCAACGCCGCGUGGGGGAAGACGGCCUUCGGGUUGUAAACCCCUUUCAGGAGGGACGAAGGCUCACCGGUGAAUAGCCGUGUGAGUUGACGGUACCUCCACAAGAAGCUCCGGCUAACUACGUGCCAGCAGCCGCGGUAAUACGUAGGGGAGCAAGCGUUGUCCGGAAUCAUUGGGCGUAAAGCGCGCGUAGGUGGCCUCAUAAGUCCGCUGUGAAAGUCAAAGGCUCAACCUUUGAAAGCCGGUGGAUACUGUGGGGCUAGAGUACGGAAGAGGCGAGUGGAAUUCCUGGUGUAGCGGUGGAAUGCGCAGAUAUCAGGAGGAACACCAAUAGCGAAGGCAGCUCGCUGGGACGUUACUGACACUGAGGCGCGAAAGCGUGGGGAGCGAACAGGAUUAGAUACCCUAGUAGUCC